AUGUCACAUAGAGGAGGGAGAAAGGUUCUUUUCUGCUGCUCCAGAGAAGCGGACACGGAGCAAUGGAUCCAAACUACAAGAAAGAAGAUUCCACCUAAACAUUAGGAAGAACUUCCUGACAGUAAGAGCUGUUUGACAGUGGAAUUUGCUGCCAAGGAGUGUGGUGGAGUCUCCUUCUUUGGAGGUCUUUAAGCAGAGGCUUGACAACCAUAUGUCAGGAGUGCUCUGAUGGUGUUUCCUGCUUGGCAGGGGGUUGGACUCGAUGGCCCUUGUGGUCUCUUCCAACUCUAUGGUUCUAUGGUUCUAUGAUUCUUAUUGCUUCUCGGUUUAAUUUUUGUUUGAAGGAUAUUGUGUUGUUAUAUUAUUUGGUAUUAUUAUUAUUUAUUAUUACUCUUAGCUGACCUGGUAUUCAACAACAAAAGGCAAAGACCUGAGGGCUGGCUAAGAGGACAACUGCAGUUCCCCAGGUUGGAGGAAGGGUUGGCACAUGGCCUGCCCCAACUCCCACCCCAUAUCUGCCCCUACCCUGAACCACUGUGAUUGGGGCACUCACUGCUCUCUCCCACUCCCCUCUUCCCUGGCACAUCCCACAACGAAUCUUGAAUUUAAACACAUACCAGUUACAACAGUUUAAAACAAUUCAAAAUAAUUAAAAGCAGUUUAAAACAUUUUUGACAGGUGGGGCGAUGACAACAGAACUGGGACAGCAUCCCAACUCAACUUCCAAAGUUUCAGUCUGUUGGUCAGUCAGUCAGGGCCCCGCCCACCCCAGGCCAGGUGGAAGAGGCCUGCCUGCCAGGCCAGGACUCAUAGCUGAGAUGGAGGGGUUCACAGCAUUAAAUUUCUGAGAGAGUCUUGCUUCACAGCAGCUGUGGAUUCAGGAAGAAAUCUACCACCGUAUUCUGACCCUCUCCCCAGCUUUCUUCCCUUUAACAGCCUGCAACCCUGUUUGUUCCCCUUUAGUUCACACAAUGGCCAACCCUAAAACUCUCCUUCAAAUUCUUUGUCUUCUAAGUGAGUUGAGGGAGGAGCAUGGAGCUCCCUCUUUUUGGCUUUCCUAAUGGCUCAUCUAAGGUCUAAGGGUGAAGUCCUGCUCCUGUCCAUCAUAAUACUGGACAGAUCAAUACAGGGUUUUGAGAGAGGUUAAUUUUAACUAUUAAGUGAGAAAUAGCAGCCACAGUCUAGGCCAGAAGUGUUUUCCCUUGGUGACCCCGCCAUGUUGAAAAGUGUGUGUGUAUGAAUGGUGUUUCCUGUCCUGUCCAGAAAUGCACUGUGCUAGAUGAAGCAGGGUCUAGAACUUUUCUAAAUAAAUUGAAUAAAACUGCUUAACCCACUGAAAGAUAUAUUUGAAAAGUGAAUAUUAAGCCAGGUAGGUAAAGUAAUGGUGUCAUGUCCUCCAUUGUGACACGUCCCCCUGCUGAGUGACUUGGCUGAGAACUUUGGGAAGAGCAACCAUUUGAGGAUAGCUAGUCCAGGCAAGAGGAGCUAGUUUGUGACAAAACAAAUAAGUUUUCCAGUGCAUUGAAGAGAUUCUUUUCAUCUCAAGUGUAAGUAGGAUUUCUAAUUCUUUCUACAUUCCGCUUCUUUCACUUUUCCUUCCAUGAAAAUCCAUCACUAUAUGGAGCUGCAUGGGCUGCUGUCCUGGUCUUGUGGACAAGUGUGUUGGAAGGACAGAAGAUAAACAAUGAAAUUUGCUACCAUAACAUCUUAGAGACAGCCACAAACUUGAAUGGUUUUCUAGGAGAAUUAAACACAUUUGUGGAGUAUCCAUGGCUACUAGCCAGGAUGACUUAUGUAUGGCCCUGAAUGCCAGUUGCUAAAGAGCUCAAGUAGGGAGAGUGCUAUCUGCUUCCAGGCUUUGCGUGGGCAUCUGGUUGGCUACUGUGAGAACAGGAUGCUGGACUAGAUGCAAUUUGGGUCUGAUCUGGCACACUCUGCUUCCAUUCCCACAUAGUCUCAGUCUUCCUGCAAGCACUGAACUCCAUUGAUCUGACUUUAGCUGAGGUUUGCAGAAUGCAAAUUUGCACAGGCUUCUAAAGAUGUGCAAUAAUUAUAGGAGGAGAGUACCUUAAGGACAAAAAGUCAACUCCUUGACACUGGUGGACAUGCCAGUCUGCUUUAUGGCAGCUUUACUGACAGGCUGUAUCACUUGGCUGUCCUGGGUCUCACCAAAGAAGAUUAGCCUGCUAAAAAAGAUGAUGAACUCAAACACUUGGUAUCUGCUUGUUUCUUUUGAAAAAAACAAAACAAACAAGAAAACCUUUUGUAGGUCUUUCCAUACCAAUUACUUUUGAAUUAUGUAUGCCUCAUGUCUUCUGAAUCUCAUCUAUGCCUAUCCUUCAAAUAAAUAAGAAAAGGAUGAAUAUCAAAAAAGGGAUAUUAUCUUGGUGUCAGAACCAGUUCCUGUCUGAUGGGAGACAGAAAUUGUAAGUAAGCAACCUGUCCUGUGAGCAAGCCUGACCUGGAAGUUUUAAUAAGGGUUGGGCUGUGCCACACAACCCGGCUCUUUUUUCGUAUUGCUGUGGAGAAGCUUCCUUUUUGAUUUUAGGAAAAACAAAGCCCGUUUCGCACAGUGCAUCACUCAGUCUCACAAGAUGUAGAGAUAGCCACCAGCCAGGAUGGCUUUUAAAAGAGGAUUCCACAAAUUCAUGGAGGAUAAAGCUAAAAAUGGCUAACUAGUAAUGGUGACUAUGUUCUACCCAGUGGCUCCAGCACCGGGGGCAGAUAGCAGCCGGGGCGUGGCUGGCGCACAUCCCGGGGGGCAUGGCGCGCAUCCUGGGGGUGUGGCACACGUCCUGCGGGGGCGUGGCGCCCAGCGCGGUGGGGCAGCCAUGAUGGCACCCCACUGGGAUUGUGGUGCCGGGGGCGGUGCGCGCCCCCACCCCCCUCUUCCUCCACCAGUGGCAGAAUAGCUCUGAGUCAGAGGUGGGAGAGUGCUGCUGUGCUGGGGUCCUGCUUUGGGGCUUUGCCUGGGCAUCUGACUGGCACUGUGAGAACAGGGUGCUGGACUAGAUGAGCCCCUGGCCUGAUCCCACUGGCUCUUCUUUUGUCCUCUCCUUCGGUCAGAGUUCAGCGGCAGAACUGACAUCUCCAUAGUCCAAGGUUCAGGAGAGUGACGGACUUUCAUCAUGAUAUCUGGAUGUUUUAAAGCCAUGCAUGGGGAGUUGUAGACCCUUGCAGCCGAGCCGCAACAGAAAACCUCCUGGUGAAUAUAUUUAGGAUAACAACUUCCACCUUUAUUCACAUCUGUGUAAGCCAUCUUUCCUUCCUAGAAAUGUUCAACAACAUUUAAGGACAUCAUACCUCAUUUCCUCACUCUUAUCUAUUUAUUUAUGUUGCCCGGAGCUGUGGCUAAAUUUAAUCCAGGCUAUUGGACACAAUAGCCUAUAAAUAUGAUUUCAUUUGUAAAUAUUUUCCUUCUUAAGGCAUCUAGGAAUUAUUACACUAGCCACUAGCUCACAGUCUAAUAUACUGUUUUAAAAGAACAGUGUUUUAAUCCUUGGAUAGGUAAGAGGAGCAACUCUGAAGCAGGUAGUGGUGGUUGUUUGCUAGGAAAUAAAUAAUCCCUCCCAGUGAUUUAUCAUUAUGUGAGUAAAGAACUUUUUGAAGCCUCCACAUUAAGUCUUACUUUUAUUGACUGCCUUCUUUAAAGAUGAAUUGUUAGGCUUAAACACAAGUUACUCUCUGCUGCUGCCAUUCCUUGGGCAACUGUUUAUUACCUCUAACUUGAAAUAAAUAGCAUGCAAGGGGAUCUAUUUCUCCCUGCUUGAACAAUUGGCUCUUUCCUAGUGCUGGCAAUCAAUAGUAAUCUUUCUGGACAGAACUGCCAUUAAAAAUUAAAUGCUAGCUGAAGUUACUACCCCUCUAACCUCAUUGCUCCCCUAGCUAUGACAGUAAGCAAAAGGAGCAGAAUAUAAACCAUCCAGGCUAUACAUAAUAAAUUUUUAAAUAUAUUGCACAAGCCUGUAAUUUUCCCCUAGAUUGAAAUCCAUCCAUGUGUUUAGAACUGCUCAUGUGGAUGUUUCUGGUCUUAUAUGCAGCCAGAUUUAUAACAUUCAUAAACAUCCUAUACAAAGCUGGAAAGCUGGAAGCAAAGAUCCAAUUGUUUGUUGUGUCUGUAGCCACUGUUAGUCUACCAGUUGGUGGUGGGGGUGGGAAUCAAAGAUCACACAUGGUACAACUUAUUUAAAAACAAAUAUACAUGCAUAUGCACCCAUGAUUUAUGAUCAUUCAGAAUGUUUAUGAAUUAUUCUGAUUUAGAGAGCUGUCCAUCGUAAUUAAAAAAUAUCUUAGGAACAGAUCUUGUAUGCGUCAGGACAAUCAAAAAUGUGUUUUGAUUAUUUAUUUAUUUAUUUAUUUAUUUAUUCACACGGACCGAAUAUGCCCCCUCAAACGGCUUAUGCCCCUUAUAGAAAUAUAAUGUGUAGUGUUUUACUUGUCAUAUUCACUUUG
Podarcis lilfordi (Lilford's wall lizard) is the source of this 4452-nucleotide non-coding RNA. NCBI's taxonomy places the organism in Eukaryota, Metazoa, Chordata, Lepidosauria, Squamata, Lacertidae. The record is from the annotation of a GenBank genome assembly.